AGGCUGGUAGUGUAAAAUGGGCUAAAUCUUUGUAUAUAUAGCAGUAAUGAUGUACUGAAACAUCAGUGGUGUGUGUAGUAUGAUCUAUUAAAGGCCUGUUUAGUUCCCCCAACCAUGCCAAAACCAAAUAUUGUGCACUAUUUGCCAAAACCAAAUAUUCAGAUAUGAAAAUAGUACGGAUAUUUUCUGACCGUAUUCG
RNAcentral lists this long non-coding RNA (199 nucleotides) under Sorghum bicolor (sorghum). Its description in RNAcentral is "long non-coding RNA (SBIC_LNC003380)". Lineage: Eukaryota; Viridiplantae; Streptophyta; Magnoliopsida; Poales; Poaceae. The record is from RNAcentral.